Molecule: ribosomal RNA, 301 nt
Filed under: uncultured bacterium
Lineage: Bacteria
Description: partial 16S ribosomal RNA
Rfam family: Bacterial small subunit ribosomal RNA
Source: RNAcentral
CAGUCGCCGCGGUAAUACGUAGGUCCCGAGCGUUGUCCGGAUUUAUUGGGCGUAAAGUGAGCGCAGGCGGUUAGAUAAGUCUGAAGUUAAAGGCUGUGGCUUAACCAUAGUACGCUUUGGAAACUGUUUAACUUGAGUGCAAGAGGGGAGAGUGGAAUUCCAUGUGUAGCGGUGAAAUGCGUAGAUAUAUGGAGGAACACCGGUGGCGAAAGCGGCUCUCUGGCUUGUAACUGACGCUGAGGCUCGAAAGCGUGGGGAGCAAACAGGAUUAGAUACCCGCGUAGUCCCUGUCUCUUAUACA